GAUCAUGGCUCAGGAUGAACGCUAGCUACAGGCUUAACACAUGCAAGUCGAGGGGAAGCGACAUCGAAAGCUUGCUUCCGAUGGGCGUCGACCGGCGCACGGGUGAGUAACGCGUAUCCAACCUGCCCACCACUUGGGGAUAACCUUGCGAAAGUAAGACUAAUACCCAAUGAUAUCUCUAGAAGACAUCUGAAAGAGUAAUUAAAGUAUUUAUCGGUGAUGGAGUGGGGAUGCGU
This 236-nucleotide ribosomal RNA is filed under the name uncultured bacterium. RNAcentral describes it as "partial 16S ribosomal RNA". It matches the Rfam family "Bacterial small subunit ribosomal RNA", at positions 15 to 236 of the family's 1533-position model. The record is from RNAcentral.